AUUGAACGCUGGCGGAAUGCUUUACUCAUGCAAGUCGAACGGUAGAGGGGGCAACCCCUCGAGAGUGGCGAACGGGUGAGUAAUAUAUCGGAACGUGCCCAGUCGUGGGGGAUAACGUAGCGAAAGUUACGCUAAUACCGCAUACGAUCUAAGGAUGAAAGCGGGGGAUCGCAAGACCUCGCGUGAUUGGAGCGGCCGAUAUCAGAUUAGGUAGUUGGUGGGGUAAAGGCUCACCAAGCCAACGAUCUGUAGCUGGUCUGAGAGGACGACCAGACACACUGGAACUGAGACACGGUCCAGACUCCUACGGGAGGCAGCAGUGGGGAAUUUUGGACAAUGGACGCAAGUCUGAUCCAGCCAUUCCGCGUGCAGGAUGAAGGCCCUCGGGUUGUAAACUGCUUUUGUACGGAACGAAAAGGUCUCUCUUAAUACGGGGGGCUCAUGACGGUACCGUAAGAAUAAGCACCGGCUAACUACGUGCCAGCCGCCGCGGUAA
Molecule: ribosomal RNA, 496 nt
Filed under: uncultured bacterium
Lineage: Bacteria
Description: partial 16S ribosomal RNA
Rfam family: Bacterial small subunit ribosomal RNA
Source: RNAcentral